RNAcentral lists this ribosomal RNA (463 nucleotides) under uncultured bacterium. RNAcentral's name for it is "partial 16S ribosomal RNA". It matches the Rfam family "Bacterial small subunit ribosomal RNA", at positions 28 to 507 of the family's 1533-position model. The record is from RNAcentral.
GACGAACGCUGGCGGCGUGCUUAACACAUGCAAGUCGAACGGAAAGGCCUUUUCGGAGGUACUCGAGUGGCGCACGGGUGAGUAACACGUGGGUGAUCUUGCCUGCACUCUGGGAUAAGCCUGGGAAACUGGGUCUAAUACCGGAGAGGACCGCGCUGUAGUGUGUGUGGGGGAAAGUGUUUUCGGUGUAGGAUGAGCGGGCGGCCUAUCAGCGUGGUGGUGGGGUAGUGGCAUACCAAGGCGGAGACGGGUAGCCGUACUGAGAGGGUGGGCGGCCACAGUGGGACUGAGAGACGGCCCAGGCUCCGACGGGAGGCAGCAGUGGGGAAGAUUGAACCAUGGGCGCAAGCCUGAUGCAGCUACGCCGCGGGGGGGAUGGCGGUCUAAGGGUUGGAAAUGCAUUUCGCCAGGGACCAAGCGUUUUGUGACGGUACCUGGAGAAGAAGCACCGGCUAACUACGUG